This 69-nucleotide transfer RNA is filed under the name Xenomystus nigri (African knifefish). RNAcentral's name for it is "tRNA-Ala". It matches the Rfam family "tRNA". From Rfam's summary of the family: Transfer RNA (tRNA) molecules are approximately 80 nucleotides in length. Their secondary structure includes four short double-helical elements and three loops (D, anti-codon, and T loops). Lineage: Eukaryota; Metazoa; Chordata; Actinopteri; Osteoglossiformes; Notopteridae. The record is from RNAcentral.
AAGGCUUUAGCUUAAUUAAAGUGUCUGAGUUGCAUUCAGAGGAUGCGGGAUAGAGUCUCGCAAGUCUUA